This 164-nucleotide ribosomal RNA is filed under the name uncultured bacterium. RNAcentral's name for it is "partial 16S rRNA". It matches the Rfam family "Bacterial small subunit ribosomal RNA", at positions 355 to 511 of the family's 1533-position model. The record is from RNAcentral.
UAGGGAAUCUUCCACAAUGGACGAAAGUCUGAUGGAGCAACGCCGCGUGAAUGAAGAAGGGUUUCGGCUCGUAAAACUCUGUUGUUAAAGAAGAACAUAUCUGAGAGUAACUGUUCAGGUAUUGACGGUAUUUAACCAGAAAGCCACGGCUAACUACGUUCCAG